RNAcentral lists this ribosomal RNA (328 nucleotides) under uncultured eukaryote. Its description in RNAcentral is "partial 18S ribosomal RNA". It matches the Rfam family "Eukaryotic small subunit ribosomal RNA", at positions 1470 to 1796 of the family's 1831-position model. The record is from RNAcentral.
CCCUUAGAUGUUCUGGGCCGCACGCGCGCUACACUGAUACGUUCAGCGAGUAUAUAACCUUGAUUGGAAAAUCUGGGUAAUCUUUUGAAUGCGUAUCGUGCUAGGGAUAGAUUAUUGCAAUUAUUAAUCUUGAACGAGGAAUUCCUAGUAAACGCAAGUCAUCAGCUUGCAUUGAUUACGUCCCUGCCCUUUGUACACACCGCCUGUCGCACAAACCGAUUGAAUGAUUCGGUGAAAAUUUUGGACAUCGAGAGUGGUGAUUAAUUUCGCUGCUCUUAAAUGAAAAGAAUUUAAACCUAAUUAUUUAGAGGAUUGUGAAGUCAUAACA